GACGAACGCUGGCGGCGUGCCUAAUACAUGCAAGUCGAACGCUUUUUCUUUCACCGGAGCUUGCUCCAUCGAAAGAAAAAGAGUGGCGAACGGGUGAGUAACACGUGGGUAACCUGCCCAUCAGAAGGGGAUAACACUUGGAAACAGGUGCUAAUACCGUAUAACACUAUUUUCCGCAUGGAAGAAAGUUGAAAGGCGCUUUUGCGUCACUGACGGAUGGACCCGCGGGGCAUUAGCUAGUUGGUGAGGUAACGGCUCACCAAGGCAACGAUGCAUAGCCGACCUGAGAGGGUGAUCGGCCACACUGGGACUGAGACACGGCCCAGACUCCUACGGGAGGAAGCAGUAGGGAAUCUUCGGCAAUGGACGAAAGUCUGACCGAGCAACGCCGCGUGAGUGAAGAAGGUUUUCGGAUCGUAAAACUCUGUUGUUAGAGAAGAACAAGGAUGAGAGUAAAAUGUUCAUCCCUUGACGGUAUCUAACCAGAAAGCCACGGCUAACUACGUGCCAGCAGCCGCCGCCG
This 523-nucleotide ribosomal RNA is filed under the name uncultured bacterium. Its description in RNAcentral is "partial 16S ribosomal RNA". It matches the Rfam family "Bacterial small subunit ribosomal RNA", at positions 28 to 523 of the family's 1533-position model. The record is from RNAcentral.